AACGAACGCUGGCGGCAGGCCUAACACAUGCAAGUCGAGCGAGGACUUCGGUUCUAGCGGCGGACGGGUGAGUAACGCGGGGGAAUGUGCCCUUCUCUACGGAAUAGCCCUGGGAAACUGGGAGUAAUACCGUAUACGCCCUAUUGGGGAAAGAUUUAUCGGAGAAGGAUCAGCCCGCGUUGGAUUAGGUAGUUGGUGGGGUAAUGGCCUACCAAGCCGACGAUCCAUAGCUGGUUUGAGAGGAUGAUCAGCCACACUGGGACUGAGACACGGCCCAGACUCCUACGGGAGGCAGCAGUGGGGAAUCUUAGACAAUGGGGGCAACCCUGAUCUAGCCAUGCCGCGUGAGUGAUGAAGGCCUUAGGGUUGUAAAGCUCUUUAAGCUGGGAAGAUAAUGACGGUACCAGCAGAAGAAGCCCCGGCUAACUCCGUG
Molecule: ribosomal RNA, 433 nt
Filed under: uncultured bacterium
Lineage: Bacteria
Description: partial 16S ribosomal RNA
Rfam family: Bacterial small subunit ribosomal RNA
Source: RNAcentral